UUUUAUUUUAUUUUAUUUUUUUAUUAAAACAAAAUCCAAAAUCAUCCUCCUAAAGUCAUUAUCUCAAAAUGUCGAAGAUAACAAAAUAACUGAGAACAAAUUUGCCAACGAUUUAUUUUGGCUUUCGAAAUCUCACAUCCAUUCGGCGUUCUUUGAAUAAUUUUUUAGGAAAAAGGGAAAAAUGGGGAAUUUCACAAAUCGAAUAAUACUUUAAGCAUUAUCUUGAUUACGCAGGAUGAUGUUGUUUCGUAUCUAAUCCGCUUUUAGAGGUAAUACAAAAUAUUGGAUUGGGAUUUCUAAAUGAAAUAAUCAAGUAACGAGGUUAAUGAAACUUAUAGACAAGAGAUAUGAGCAGUGCCGAUUAUUGGUUUAAAUUUGGAGAAUGAAAAUUA
Molecule: unclassified non-coding RNA, 392 nt
Filed under: Hevea brasiliensis (rubber tree)
Lineage: Eukaryota; Viridiplantae; Streptophyta; Magnoliopsida; Malpighiales; Euphorbiaceae
Source: RNAcentral